Molecule: transfer RNA, 65 nt
Filed under: Planorbarius corneus
Lineage: Eukaryota; Metazoa; Mollusca; Gastropoda; Planorbidae
Description: tRNA-Asp
Source: RNAcentral
UUCUAUUUAGUUUAAAAAAAAUGUAAGCUUGUCAAGCCUAAGAUAAAAUCUUAAUUUAAUAGAUA